Small nuclear RNA from Protopterus annectens (West African lungfish), 196 nucleotides. RefSeq annotates it as U2 spliceosomal RNA. The record is from RefSeq and is a predicted model, not a curated record. The transcript has a single exon. Lineage: Eukaryota; Metazoa; Chordata; Ceratodontiformes; Protopteridae.
AUAUUUGACAGAAAAGAAAUCACACUACAAAGAAAGUGUAGUAUCUGUUCUUAUCAGUGUAAAAUCAAAUAUGUCCCUUAUCUGGGGACCAUAUAUUAAAUUGAUUUUUGGAACAGGGAGAUGGAAUAGGGGCUUACUCCGUCCACUCCACGCAUCAACCUGUUAUUGCAGUAUUUCCAGGAACGAUGCACUCUCC